GGCGUGGUAGCCAAGUGGUAAGGCAGAGGUCUGCAAAACCUCCAUUCACCGGUCCGAAUCCGGUCCACGCCUCCA
RNAcentral lists this transfer RNA (75 nucleotides) under Oligosphaeraceae bacterium. Its description in RNAcentral is "tRNA-Cys". It matches the Rfam family "tRNA". From Rfam's summary of the family: Transfer RNA (tRNA) molecules are approximately 80 nucleotides in length. Their secondary structure includes four short double-helical elements and three loops (D, anti-codon, and T loops). Lineage: Bacteria; Pseudomonadati; Lentisphaerota; Oligosphaeria; Oligosphaerales; Oligosphaeraceae. The record is from RNAcentral.